Molecule: long non-coding RNA, 2287 nt
Organism: Diorhabda sublineata
Lineage: Eukaryota; Metazoa; Arthropoda; Insecta; Coleoptera; Chrysomelidae
Exons: 3
Source: RefSeq, a predicted model, not a curated record
UUUUGUCAUUUCUUUGACUAAUAUUUCUUAGUAAACAUCAAGGUAAAUACCAAACUAAAUACAAAUUUAAUUAUUAAAGAUACAAAAUAGAGGAGCCGAUAACUAGAGGAAUAUAUUCCAUCAUCUGCACAUGCGAAUAAAUUAUAAUAUAACAUAACCUAACUUUAAAUUCGGUUUUAAUUUUUCGAAUACUUUUCACUUUUCUCAAACUACUCGGAAUCUGAAUCUUUUUUGUCCUAAUUUUAAGAUGCCGGUAUUGUGUUUUGAAUGUGAAAAAUUUUUUUGAAACCAGUUUAACUUAAACAUUUAAGAAACAUUCAUGAUAAAUCAUCCAAAUGGAUUGAAUAUGGAAGUGAAACAAAAUAUACGUGUGUGGAAUGCAGUCUCUUUUUUAAAUUUAAUGGAGACUUGAGAAGUCAUCUGGAGCACAAACACAAUUUAAAAAAUAAUAUAGUACAUUUACCGUUUCCAAGUUUUGAUGAAUUCAACCAAUGGCUUUGUGAAGAACAAAAAGUCAACAAUGUCCAGUAUAUCCGAAAUUCUGGGAAAAAAGUUCAGAGCAAUUAUGAACAUGUUUAUUUUGAAUGCAAACGCUUCUACAAGAAAUAAAAUUUAGUAUCAUUUCAAAAUCGGAAACGGAAAGUCACGGGGAUCUUGUAAGUUAAAUAAAUCAUUUGUCGUCAAAAGAAACCUAGAGUCAGACCAUUGUGAUAUUACAUAUAAUAAAUCACAUUAUUUACAUGGAUCAGAUGAAAUACAACAUUUACAAAUUACAAAAAGUGAUAAGGAGAUGAUUGCUUCCAAACUAAUUUUAGGGGUUCCAUCUAAAGGGAUAUAUAAGAAAUAUUCAGCGGACAUAUAAUAUGCAUUUGAAAGAUGGAUUAUACCACAAAGAUGAUGCGACCAGUGUUAAUAUUUGGGUCAAACAAUCUGCUGAAGCUGAGGAUAAUCCAGUGCUUUUUUACAAAUAGCACGGACAGUCAAUUGUGAACUUUGAACCAAGUGACUUUUGUAUGACAAUAUGACAAAGUUUGGGAGUCAAGUUAUCACAAUAGAUGGAACACAUGGGCUAAAUGCCUAUGACUUUGAACUUAAGACUUUGUUGACAUUAGAUGAGUUUAGACAGAGUUAUUCAGUUGCUUUUAUGUUCACAAAUCGUAAAGAUACUUCUGUUUAUCAGUUUUUUUUCUCUAAAGUGAAAGACGUUGUUGGUCUGAUUAAAAAUACAGUUUUCAUAUCUGAUAUCACUCUUACAUACUAUAUGGCUUGAUACCAAAUAAUGGGACCACCAAAACAUAGACUAUUAUGCUCCUGGCAUGUUGAUAGAUCAUGGCAGACAAACCUCGCAAAAAUAAAUAAUUCUGAGAAAAAAUCUUGGAUAUAUAAAACACUUAAACACAUACAGACUAUAUCAGACAUUGAAGUAUUUCAAAGAAAAGUUAUCAAAUUCACUCAGACUCUCAAUGAGGAUCAAGAAACAAAAAAAUUUGGUGAUUAUUUGGAAAAAUAUUGUAUACCAAUAUCUGAGCAGUGGGCUUAUUGCUACAGAAGUGGAUGCGGUUUGAACACUAACAUGCACUUGGAGAGCUUCCAUAAAACCAUUAAAUAUCAUUACUUAACUGGAAAAAAGAUAAAAAUAUUGGAUAAAUCAAUUCAUCAGUUAGUGUCUUACUUACGGGACAAAUCUGUGGACAGAAUAAUAAAAUUGAAAAAGGGAACGAACUUGAAAAACAACACACAUUCAAGUGUAGCUGCAUUGAUUUUUGCAUAAGAACAACUAUAUGCAAGCAUAUCCACUACGUAGCUAUAAACAGUGAGCAGCAAAAUAAUAAUAAUAUACCACUGGUCACCAGCCAGAUCAUAUAUAAUGAAAAUACUAAAAAAGUUCAGGAUUUGAAAUCACAGUUGUUUGUUAAGAAAGAAAGCAUUAAGGAAAAAAUAAGAAGUAAUAUUUUUGAAAUGCUGCAAAUGCUUGAUUGUCAAAAUUUUAGCGAUGAACAACUUGAUCUCUGGUUACAGCAUACUAAAACAUGCCUGACUUUAUGCUCUGAAGACGAUGAAAAUAAAAAUAAAUUUUUGGUAAAGGAGGAAAAUAUGAAACAACCAGCUAAUACAAAUAUCACAAAACAGAAGUCGUUCCAUUCAACUAAGAAGAAAGGUAACCAAAAGAACACUGCAGAAAUAUUGUUAAUUUUUACUUUGAUGGAGGUAUAGAAGCAUUUUGUUUAUACCUAUUCCUAUAUAUAUGUAUGUAUAUCGAUAUUUAUAUUAAAAUUUUUCUUUCAAA